CAAACGAAGGUUGGUAUAAUACACCUGCAUGUCAAAGACUGCACUACUAACGAUCACUGUGCAGCGUUACUCAUUGUUUCAUAGUAAUACAGUCUGGGUUAUCGUUGUCGUAUUUAUUUAUUUUACUUAAACAUGUAACCACAACUCGUUUCUAAAGUUUAAUGAUUUUUUUUUUUUUUUUGUAAAUGAUAACCGUGCAUGGAUAUUCUUUUAUUAUAAUUAUAUUUUUUGCUUUUUAAAAAGUUUUUUUUUUUAAUUUUCAUGUAUGCUGAAUAUGUUGUCAUAAAAAAAGAGAGAGCAACUUAUUUUUAUUGUAGCAUGUUUGUCAAAUAAUGCAUUAUUGACGUUUCUUUAAGUUAUUAUCACUUUUAUGUUGUUUAGACUUAGAUUAUUUGAAUCGUGGACUGUCGGUUUUAUCUUAUUUCUCGUGUAACUAGAUUUGUCUUCCAGAGUUGUUGCUCAGCAGUGAACCUGAUCAUGUCUGGAUAUGACCGAGCUCGGGUACUGUGCCUUCCCUGGGAAUAAGAGAGAAAGUGCUGCGAGCCCUCCAGGACUAUGCCUUUACACGCUGGUGAGCGACCAAAUCCAUGAGUCAAGGGGAAACUUAAGAAGCCUAACAGCCUGUCUGAGAGCUUCAUAAGGAAAACCUGAACAAGCUGCUGACAAAGUUCUCCCUUUGUGUGCUGCAUCAUCCCAAUGAAACUAGAACUCCAGGUGGACUGGACUGGACUGAACCCCCCCCCCCCAUUACAAUAAAUACUGUAGAUUACAGAAUGUUACAUUUUGAACCUAUUUUUCAUCUCAGUCUGGCAAUCUAGGAGUGUGUAUUCCUCGUUUAGGGAACUUGAUUUCAGAAUGUGUAGCAGACAGAGAGCUGUUCUGACACUGGCGCUCAUGGUGAUUGUGUGGAAUAGUUGUGCUUGAAAUGCAGCGAAGCGCUGGCCGUGAUCGAGCCGUGGCUGGAGGGCACAGAGACAGAGAAUUCUGAGGUCAAGAGGAAAGAGCCGGAGGAGAAGGAAGUCAGACUGAGAAGAAAGACCCGUUUGCAGCUCCAGAAUGAAAGCGCUCAAACAUAAAGAAUGACAGGAAGUAUAUCUGGGCAUCUUCACUAGCCCAGUGUCUAGACAAAACUGGCAACAAGCUCACUGCUAUUUUGACAAAAUAAUACCGUGGGCAAACAAAAUAAAAAGUAUGGUUUGCAA
Molecule: long non-coding RNA, 1202 nt
Organism: Acipenser ruthenus (sterlet)
Lineage: Eukaryota; Metazoa; Chordata; Actinopteri; Acipenseriformes; Acipenseridae
Exons: 5
Source: RefSeq, a predicted model, not a curated record